Mesocricetus auratus (golden hamster) is the source of this 328-nucleotide unclassified non-coding RNA. Its record names the gene 7SK. It matches the Rfam family "7SK RNA". From Rfam's summary of the family: 7SK was discovered as an abundant small nuclear RNA in the mid-70s but a possible function has only recently been suggested. Two independent studies have found that 7SK RNA binds the CDK9/cyclin T complex (known as elongation factor P-TEFb). The record is from Ensembl. NCBI's taxonomy places the organism in Eukaryota, Metazoa, Chordata, Mammalia, Rodentia, Cricetidae.
GGAUGUGAGGGUGAUCUGGCUGCGACAUCUGUCACCCCAUUGAUCGCCACGUCAGGGUUGAUCUGGCUGUCUAGGCGGGUGUCCCCUUCCUCUGUCACUGCUGCAUGUGUGUCCCUCCCGAAGCUGCGCGCUUGGUCGAAGAGGACGACCUUCCUGAAUAGAGGAGGACCGGUCUUUGGUCAAGGGUAUGUGAGUAGCCGUGUUUCCCUGCUAAAACCUCCAAACAAGCUCUCAAGGUCCAGAAAGGUAUAAGUAUUAAAAAAUUGGCUAAUAAAAGGUUAUGGCACCUACUACAAGGUCAGCAUAAAGAAUCAAUUAGAGGUUAGUG